GGACCACAGCUCAGUGGUAGAGUGCUUGCUUGGCAUGCAUGAAGCCCUGGGUUCAAUACCCAGCACCA
RNAcentral lists this transfer RNA (68 nucleotides) under Marmota monax (woodchuck). RNAcentral describes it as "tRNA.Ala". The stretch from base 8 to 63 matches the Rfam family "tRNA", at positions 9 to 63 of the family's 71-position model. From Rfam's summary of the family: Transfer RNA (tRNA) molecules are approximately 80 nucleotides in length. Their secondary structure includes four short double-helical elements and three loops (D, anti-codon, and T loops). The record is from RNAcentral. Lineage: Eukaryota; Metazoa; Chordata; Mammalia; Rodentia; Sciuridae.